RNAcentral lists this ribosomal RNA (441 nucleotides) under uncultured bacterium. RNAcentral describes it as "partial 16S ribosomal RNA". It matches the Rfam family "Bacterial small subunit ribosomal RNA", at positions 339 to 795 of the family's 1533-position model. The record is from RNAcentral.
CUACGGGCGGCUGCAGUGGGGAAUAUUGCACAAUGGGCGCAAGCCUGAUGCAGCAACGCCGUGUGAGUGAUGAAGGUCUUCGGAUUGUAAAACUCUGUCCUAUGGGAAGAAAAAAAUGACGGUACCAUAGGAGGAAGCCCCGGCUAACUACGUGCCAGCAGCCACGGUAAUACGUAGGGGGCAAGCGUUAUCCGGAAUCACUGGGCGUAAAGGGUGCGUAGGCGGCCUAUCAAGUCAGAGGUGAAAGGCAUUGGCUCAACCAAUGUAAGCCUUUGAAACUGUUAGGCUUGAGUGCAGGAGAGGUAAGUGGAAUUCCUAGUGUAGAGGUGAAAUUCGUAGAUAUUAGGAGGAACACCAGUGGCGAAGGCGACUUACUGGACUGUAACUGACGCUGAGGCACGAAAGCGUGGGGAGCGAACAGGAUUAGAUACCCGCGUAGUC